AAACUAACAAGGAUUCCCCUAGUAGCGGCGAGCGAAGCGGGAAGAGCUCAAAUUUAUAAUCUGGCACCUUCGGUGUCCGAGUUGUAAUCUCUAGAAGUGUUUUCCGCGUUGGACCGCACACAAGUCUGUUGGAAUACAGCGGCAUAGUGGUGAGACCCCCGUAUAUGGUGCGGACGCCCAACGCUUUGUGAUACACUUUCGAAGAGUCGAGUUGUUUGGGAAUGCAGCUCAAAUUGGGUGGUAAAUUCCAUCUAAAGCUAAAUAUUGGCGAGAGACCGAUAGCGAACAAGUACCGUGAGGGAAAGAUGAAAAGCACUUUGGAAAGAGAGUUAACAGUACGUGAAAUUGUUGGAAGGGAAACGCUUGAAGUCAGACUUGCUUGCCGAGCAAUCGGUUUGCAGGCCAGCAUCAGUUUUCCGGGGUGGAUAAUGGUAGAGAGAAGGUAGCAGUUUCGGCUGUGUUAUAGCUCUUUGCUGGAUACACCUUGGGGGACUGAGGAACGCAGUGUGCCUUACGGCGGAUUUCUCGAGAUCUUCACACUUAGGAUGCUGGUGGAAUGGCUUUAAACGACCCGUCU
This 577-nucleotide ribosomal RNA is filed under the name Rhodotorula taiwanensis. Its description in RNAcentral is "partial large subunit ribosomal RNA". It matches the Rfam family "Eukaryotic large subunit ribosomal RNA", at positions 62 to 654 of the family's 3401-position model. Lineage: Eukaryota; Fungi; Basidiomycota; Microbotryomycetes; Sporidiobolales; Sporidiobolaceae. The record is from RNAcentral.